CUAACUGGAGGACCGAACCGACUAAUGUUGAAAAAUUAGCGGAUGACUUGUGGCUGGGGGUGAAAGGCCAAUCAAACCGGGAGAUAGCUGGUUCUCCCCGAAAGCUAUUUAGGUAGCGCCUCGUGAAUUCAUCUUCGGGGGUAGAGCACUGUUUCGGCAAGGGGGUCAUCCCGACUUACCAACCCGAUGCAAACUGCGAAUACCGGAGAAUGUUAUCACGGGAGACACACGGCGGGUGCUAACGUCCGUCGUGAAGAGGGAA
This 262-nucleotide ribosomal RNA is filed under the name Escherichia coli. Its description in RNAcentral is "partial 23S ribosomal RNA". It matches the Rfam family "Bacterial large subunit ribosomal RNA", at positions 762 to 1021 of the family's 2925-position model. The record is from RNAcentral. Lineage: Bacteria; Pseudomonadati; Pseudomonadota; Gammaproteobacteria; Enterobacterales; Enterobacteriaceae.